RNAcentral lists this ribosomal RNA (1379 nucleotides) under uncultured bacterium. RNAcentral's name for it is "16S ribosomal RNA". It matches the Rfam family "Bacterial small subunit ribosomal RNA", at positions 123 to 1501 of the family's 1533-position model. The record is from RNAcentral.
AACGUACCUUUCAGUGGGGGAUAACGUAGCGAAAGUUACGCUAAUACCGCAUAUUCUGUGAGCAGGAAAGCAGGGGACCUUCGGGCCUUGCGCUGAUUGAGCGGCCGAUAUCAGAUUAGCUAGUUGGUGAGGUAAAGGCUCACCAAGGCGACGAUCUGUAGCGGGUCUGAGAGGAUGAUCCGCCACACUGGAACUGAGACACGGUCCAGACUCCUACGGGAGGCAGCAGUGGGGAAUUUUGGACAAUGGGGGCAACCCUGAUCCAGCCAUGCCGCGUGAGUGAAGAAGGCCUUCGGGUUGUAAAGCUCUUUCGGCCGGGAAGAAAUCGCAUCAGCUAAUACCUGGUGUGGAUGACGGUACCGGAAUAAGAAGCACCGGCUAACUACGUGCCAGCAGCCGCGGUAAUACGUAGGGUGCGAGCGUUAAUCGGAAUUACUGGGCGUAAAGCGUGCGCAGGCGGUUUGUUAAGAUAGGCGUGAAAUCCCCGGGCUCAACCUGGGAACUGCGUUUAUGACUGGCAGGCUAGAGUAUGGCAGAGGGGGGUGGAAUUCCACGUGUAGCAGUGAAAUGCGUAGAGAUGUGGAGGAACACCGAUGGCGAAGGCAGCCCCCUGGGCCAAUACUGACGCUCAUGCACGAAAGCGUGGGUAGCAAACAGGAUUAGAUACCCUGGUAGUCCACGCCCUAAACGAUGUCAACUAGGUGUUGGGUGGGUAAAACCAUUUAGUACCGGAGCUAACGCGUGAAGUUGACCGCCUGGGGAGUACGGCCGCAAGGUUAAAACUCAAAGGAAUUGACGGGGACCCGCACAAGCGGUGGAUGAUGUGGAUUAAUUCGAUGCAACGCGAAAAACCUUACCUACCCUUGACAUGGCAGGAAUCCCUGAGAGAUCAGGGAGUGCUCGAAAGAGAACCUGCACACAGGUGCUGCAUGGCUGUCGUCAGCUCGUGUCGUGAGAUGUUGGGUUAAGUCCCGCAACGAGCGCAACCCUUGUCAUUAGUUGCUACGAAAGGGCACUCUAAUGAGACUGCCGGUGACAAACCGGAGGAAGGUGGGGAUGACGUCAAGUCCUCAUGGCCCUUAUGGGUAGGGCUUCACACGUCAUACAAUGGUACAUACAGAGGGCCGCCAACCCGCGAGGGGGAGCUAAUCCCAGAAAGUGUAUCGUAGUCCGGAUUGUAGUCUGCAACUCGACUACAUGAAGUUGGAAUCGCUAGUAAUCGCGGAUCAGCAUGUCGCGGUGAAUACGUUCCCGGGUCUUGUACACACCGCCCGUCACACCAUGGGAGCGGGUUUCACCAGAAGUAGGUAGCUUAACCGCAAGGAGGGCGCUUACCACGGUGGGAUUCGUGACUGGGGUGAAGUCGUAACAAGGUAACC